Molecule: non-coding RNA, 257 nt
Filed under: Alkalibacterium sp.
Lineage: Bacteria; Bacillati; Bacillota; Bacilli; Lactobacillales; Carnobacteriaceae
Description: T-box sequence
Rfam family: T-box leader
About the family: Uncharged tRNA acts as the effector for transcription antitermination of genes in the T-box leader family. T-boxes are found upstream of many aminoacyl-tRNA synthetase genes and some amino acid biosynthetic genes usually in Gram-positive bacteria.
Source: RNAcentral
AAGAAAACAAUGUGAAAAGAAAAGUACAUUUAGGAAGUCUUCUUAGAGAGUCUGUGCCGGUGAAAGCAGAUAAGAGUGAAUAAGUGGAAAAUGGUCUUGGAAGUGGAGUAAACGAUCUUGCUGAAGGUAAGUUUACUACGGGUUCACCCGUUACAGUGACGCAGUCUACAAGAAGAAUCUUGUGUACUGGCAGAGACAGUAUCAGUGAUGAUGCUGUAAAUUAAGGUGGUAACGCGAUAAAUUUAGUCGUCCUUAAA